AAAUUGAAGAGUUUGAUCAUGGCUCAGAUUGAACGCUGGCGGCAGGCCUAACACAUGCAAGUCGAACGGUAGCACAGAGAGCUUGCUCUCGGGUGACGAGUGGCGGACGGGUGAGUAAUGUCUGGGAAACUGCCUGAUGGAGGGGGAUAACUACUGGAAACGGUGGCUAAUACCGCAUAACGUCGCAAGACCAAAGAGGGGGACCUUCGGGCCUCUUGCCAUCAGAUGUGCCCAGAUGGGAUUAGCUUGUUGGUGAGGUAACGGCUCACCAAGGCGACGAUCCCUAGCUGGUCUGAGAGGAUGACCAGCCACACUGGAACUGAGACACGGUCCAGACUCCUACGGGAGGCAGCAGUGGGGAAUAUUGCACAAUGGGCGCAAGCCUGAUGCAGCCAUGCCGCGUGUAUGAAGAAGGCCUUCGGGUUGUAAAGUACUUUCAGCGGGGAGGAAGGUGUUGUGGUUAAUAACCGCAGCAAUUGACGUUACCCGCAGAAGAAGCACCGGCUAACUCCGUGCCAGCAGCCGCGGUAAUACGGAGGGUGCAAGCGUUAAUCGGAAUUACUGGGCGUAAAGCGCACGCAGGCGGUCUGUCAAGUCGGAUGUGAAAUCCCCGGGCUCAACCUGGGAA
This 628-nucleotide ribosomal RNA is filed under the name Salmonella enterica. Its description in RNAcentral is "bacterial SSU rRNA". It matches the Rfam family "Bacterial small subunit ribosomal RNA", at positions 1 to 620 of the family's 1533-position model. Lineage: Bacteria; Pseudomonadati; Pseudomonadota; Gammaproteobacteria; Enterobacterales; Enterobacteriaceae. The record is from RNAcentral.